UACAGAGGUCCCGAAGCGUUGUUCGGAUUCACUGGGCGUAAAGGGUGCGUAGGCGGUCGGGUAAGUCUGAUGUGAAAUCGUCACAGCUUAACUGUGAAACUGCAUUGGAUACUAUUCGGCUUGAGAGUUGGAGGGGGGACUGAAUUCUUGGUGUAGCAGUGAAAUGCGUAGAUAUCAAGAGGAACACCAGUGGCGAAGGCGAGUCCCUGGACAACUUCUGACGCUGAGGCACGAAAGCUAGGGGAGCAAACAGG
Molecule: ribosomal RNA, 254 nt
Filed under: uncultured bacterium
Lineage: Bacteria
Description: partial 16S ribosomal RNA
Rfam family: Bacterial small subunit ribosomal RNA
Source: RNAcentral